UCGUCACACUAUCAUUAACUGAAUCCAUAGGUUAAUGAGGCGAACCGGGGGAACUGAAACAUCUAAGUACCCCGAGGAAAAGAAAUCAACCGAGAUUCCCCCAGUAGCGGCGAGCGAACGGGGAGGAGCCCAGAGCCUGAAUCAGCAUGUGUGUUAGUGGAAGCGUCUGGAAAGGCGCGCGAUACAGGGUGACAGCCCCGUACACAAAAGCGCAUGUGCUGUGAGCUCGAUGAGUAGGGCGGGACACGUGAUAUCCUGUCUGAAUAUGGGGGGACCAUCCUCCAAGGCUAAAUACUCCUGACUGACCGAUAGUGAACCAGUACCGUGAGGGAAAGGCGAAAAGAACCCCGGCGAGGGGAGUGAAAAAGAACCUGAAACCGUGUACGUACAAGCAGUGGGAGCACCCUUUGGGGUGUGACUGCGUACCUUUUGUAUAAUGGGUCAGCGACUUAUAUUCUGUAGCAAGGUUAACCGAAUAGGGGAGCCGGAGGGAAACCGAGUCUUAACCGGGCGUUAAGUUGCAGGGUAUAGACCCGAAACCCGGUGAUCUAGCCAUGGGCAGGUUGAAGGUUGGGUAACACUAACUGGAGGACCGAACCGACUAAUGUUGAAAAAUUAGCGGAUGACCUGUGGCUGGGGGUGAAAGGCCAAUCAAACCGGGAGAUAGCUGGUUCUCCCCGAAAGCUAUUUAGGUAGCGCCUCGUGAAUUCAUCUCCGGGGGUAGAGCACUGUUUCGGCUAGGGGGCCAUCCCGGCUUACCAACCCGAUGCAAACUGCGAAUACCGGAGAAUGUUAUCACGGGAGACACACGGCGGGUGCUAACGUCCGUCGUGAAGAGGGAAACAACCCAGACCGCCAGCUAAGGUCCCAAAGUCAUAGUUAAGUGGGAAACGAUGUGGGAAGGCCCAGACAGCCAGGAUGUUGGCUUAGAAGCAGCCAUCAUUUAAAGAAAGCGUAAUAGCUCACUGGUCGAGUCGGCCUGCGCGGAAGAUGUAACGGGGCUAAAC
Molecule: ribosomal RNA, 1007 nt
Filed under: Salmonella enterica
Lineage: Bacteria; Pseudomonadati; Pseudomonadota; Gammaproteobacteria; Enterobacterales; Enterobacteriaceae
Description: bacterial LSU rRNA
Rfam family: Bacterial large subunit ribosomal RNA
Source: RNAcentral